RNAcentral lists this ribosomal RNA (603 nucleotides) under Triticum aestivum (bread wheat). RNAcentral's name for it is "partial small subunit ribosomal RNA". Lineage: Eukaryota; Viridiplantae; Streptophyta; Magnoliopsida; Poales; Poaceae. The record is from RNAcentral.
AUGGCCAUCGCACAGACCAUCCUCACGCAGGGCCUCGCAGACGAGAUCGCGCUCGUGGACGCCGAGGCCGACAGGGUCCGCGGCGAGAUGCUGGACCUGCAGCACGCCGCGGCGUUCCUCCCACGCGUCCGCAUCGUCGCCGGCACCGACGUGCUCGCGCUCACCAGGGGCUCUGACCUGGCCAUCAUCACGGUGCCCAGGGAGACGGCGGCGGCGUCGCGGAUGGACCAGCUGAGGAGGAACGUGGCGCUGCUGAGGGAGGUCGUGCCGGCGGUGGCGGAGGGGUCCCCGGAGUCGCUGCUGCUGGUGGUGUCGAACCCGGUGGACGUGCUGGCGUACGCGGCGUGGAAGCUGUCGGGGUUCCCGUCGAGCCGCGUGAUCGGCUCCAGCACGGACCUCGACUCCGCCAGGCUGCGGUGCCUCCUGGCCGAGCACCUCGGCGUGGGCGCGCAGGACGUGCAGGCGUACAUGGUCGGCGAGCACGGAGACGGCGCGCUGGCGCUGUGGUCGAGCAUCCGCGUCGGCGGCAUGCCGGUGCUGAGCUACCUCCAGAAGACGCGGAGGGGAUCCGGCGGGCGGUGGUGGGCGGCGCGGGCGAGAUGA